Molecule: non-coding RNA, 770 nt
Organism: Misgurnus anguillicaudatus (oriental weatherfish)
Lineage: Eukaryota; Metazoa; Chordata; Actinopteri; Cypriniformes; Cobitidae
Source: RefSeq, a predicted model, not a curated record
ACAUUGAGAACCACUGGUCUACAGGACCAGAGAAGACAGCAAACCAUGCAGAAGAGACCCCAAAGGAUACUAAAGGACAGUACCCGCCCAGCCACAACCUGUUCACCCUGCUGCCUUCUGGAAACAAUAGAAGUUUCUGCUGCCAGACUGUAGAGCAGCCCCCCCCCCCAGUUAUCGGACUGGUAAACUCUAGUUCAUCCUUAGCACUCCUCCACUGAUUAUAAUUUAUUUCUGUUUAUUAUAAUUGCUUCUAUAUUAAUGUAUAUUGUCUGCUAUAGCAAAAGCAAGUUACAAACUCAAUUAAUACUUUAUAUUAUAUAACCUGUUACAUUGUGACAAAAUAAAUCUACCCACCUACUUUAAAGAAGAAUAAAGUGAAUGUUUUGGAAAUGCCAAGUCAAAAGUUCUGACCUUAAAAUUAUUGAAAUGUUGGGGAAGGAUGAGGAAGCAAGCAGCUCAUGUGAGGAAACCCACCAAUAUUGGUGCUAAAGCUGUUCUGUACAGAGCAAUGGGCAAAUAUUCAUCCAAGCCAAUAAGCAGGAUUGCUCAAAAGUUACUGGAAACGUUUUGUUGCAAUUAUUGCUGCUUUACUCAGCAUGGACAGCUUGUUUUUAGUAAUGCAAUUAUGUUUUUGGACUUUCUUUUUAGGACCUUGUAAAAUGUUCUAACUUUAGGGCUUAACUGUAAAUGUUCUGCAACCAUAGAUUGCACAUGCAAUGUCUUUGAAAGCAUGUCUGUGCUAUAUAUGUUGAAUAAAUGUUUAAAACUUG